GGAACAAUAUACGGUUUAGUGAUUCUAUAAUUUUAGUAAUAUUAUAUUUUAUUGUUAUAAACUGCUCGAAUAUGUCCAUUUCCUUAUAUCUGUGAAGAUUGCAAUAAUUAGACUUUUUUAAUAAUAUGGCUUUAUGGUUAAAUUAUUUUAUACAUUUUUAUUAACUUAUUAAUGUAAAAAUGAAAUUCGUGAUGAAAAUGUAAUCAUUAAGUAAAAUAAAUUCUUUUUUUUAUAAAAAAUAUAUUUUUAUGAAUUAUCAUAAUUAUAGAAUUUGUCCAAAAUCCACUGUGCAUUUUUAAAAAAUAUAGAAUUAAUGUAUAAAAUAUUUUAUAAUACAAAGAUUUACUAUUUAGGAUAAUGUUAAAUCUUGCUACUUAAUUAUACUCAUUUUCAUGUAAGAUAACCUGCUAAAUUUAAACAUAUUACUAUGUAGUGAAAUUAAAAUAAAAUUUGACUUAUGAAGUAAUAGCGAAUGAACAUAUUGUCAUCUGAGCCAUAAUACAAAAUAUAAUGGGUAUAUAAAUGUAGUUAAAUUAUAUGAAUAUUUCUGAAUUGUUAUAAGCUUAUUUAGCUAUAAGAUUUUAGACGAUAAUAAUUCUGUAUUAUAAUAAUUAUUUAUAUUAAGUCAGUUAAAUAUGGAAUAUAGUUCUUUGAUACUAGAGUUGAAAUAAGAUGGUGUUACACAUAUAAGGACAGGUCACAACUGGAGAACUUUUAGUUAACAAGUAUCUUAAGAGAAAGAUGAAAAGAACCUUAGGGUGGGAGUUAAAUAGUACAUGAAUUUGUUAGUUAAAAUGUAUCAACUUUAUAAACAUUUCUUUAAUAUAAAUAAAUAUUUAAUGAAUCCUAUUAUAGAUAUAUUAUGUAUAUUAUUUGUUUUCUUUUUUAAGGUACGUUAUAUAUGUCUGUUAUUAUUUUGAUUCGACCCGUCUGGAAACACGGUUCAAAGGAGUCUAAUUUUAUUGCAAAAUAAUUAAUAAUAAUAUAUUUGAUUACAUUUAAUUUGAACUGCGUUUGUCUAUAAAUAUACAUUACAAAGUGCGAAUACUGUAAUAACUCUCAAAUUUUAGCAUUUAUUUUAGUACCCGAAAGAUGGUGAACUAUACUUAUGUAGGGUUAAGUCAGCAGAAAUUUUGGUUAAUGCUCGAAAUGAUACUGACGUGCAAAUCGUUCGUUUAAUAAAAGUAUAGGGGCGAAAGACUAAUCGAACUAUCUAGUAGCUGGUUGCCUUUGAAGUUUCCCUCAGGAUAGCUAGGGAUAUUUUAAAGUUACAUGAGGUAAAGCGAAUCAUUAGAGCCAUUGGGUUUUAAAAAAUCUCAUUCUAUUCUUAAACUUUAAAUGUAUAUAAAGUGAUGCUAUUUUAUUUUAAGUAUUACAUUGAAAUAUGUCUCUCUGUGGGCCAAUUUUGGUAAGCAGAACUGGCGAUGUGGGAUGUUCCAAACAUAUAGUUAAUAAGCAAAAUUGUUAGCUUAGAUUGAUACCAAAAAGGGCGUUAUUUGAUUUGAAUAGCAGGACGAUGAUCAUGGAAGUUGAUAUUCGUUAAAUAGUGUGUAAUAACUCACCUGUCGAAUCAAACAGCCCCAAAAAUGGAUGGCUCUUAAGUAUACUUUUAAAACUAAAUGACUAAUUUACUUAAUAUAUAUGAUAGUUAGUAGAAUGUUAAAACAAUAGCAUUGAAUAUGUAAUCAUAUGGUUUAUUGGAGUAAUUGUUAGUACAGAUCUUGGUAUUAGUAGCAAUUUUUCAUUAAAGAAUAAUGAAUCCUGAGGUGGAGUAAGGUUCCAUAUUACCAACAUUUGAAUAUGGGUUAGUAGGUCCUCACUAAAUUAUUAAUUAAUUAGAAUAGUAAAUUGUAUUACUUCUCUUAACAGGGUUUCUAGUUAAUAUUCUUGAAUUAAAUAUCAUGCUGUUAUUAUGGUAACAGUAAAAGUUGAGUCAUAAGGUUUAUUGUUUUAAUAGGAGAUCUCUAUUCUUAUUCAGAGUGUAUAUAUAAUCCGGUAAAAAGAUAAUCUUAAGGUCAGAUGAUAUAUUUUAGAAAGCUGUGCAUAAUUGCGAAGCAUAGUUUAGUUUUGACCUUUUUAAAAACACUGUUAAUUGUAUUCUCACCAUUAUUGAUUUUUAUUAAUCACCGCAUCAGGUCUCCAAGGUUAGAAGCCUCUUGUUAAUAGAAUAAAGGGGGUAAGGGAAGUCGGCAAAAUAGUUCUGUAUGUUUGCAACAAAGAAUGGCUCAUUAUGUUGGGUUAUAAGGCUCAUGGAAUAAAUAAUAUGGAAAUAAAUAUUUACCAUAACUGAUAUAAAGUCAUAUAUGGAAAAAUUCGCAUUCCAUUUGAAUGACAACAUGAGGAUGUUUAGAUUGUAAUGAAAAUAAAUUUUGGGUAACAUCUAGCAACUAAAAUUGAACUGGUAUUAGCUUAAGGAACCCGACUAUUUAAUUAAAAUAAAGCAUUGAGAUGGAUUAGAUAGUUAUUGAUACAAUGUGAUUUCUGCCCAGUGCCCUGGAUGUUAAUGUGAGUAAAUUCAAUAAAGCGCGGGUAAACGGCGGGAGUAACUAUGACUCUCUUAAGGUAGCCAAAUGCCUCGUCAUUUCAUUAGUGACGCGCAUGAAUGGAUCAACGAGGUUCCUUCUGUCCCUUCUUACUAUCUAGCGAAACUACAGCCAAGGGAACGGGCUUGAAAGUAAUUGCGGGGAAAGAAGACCCUGUUGAGCUUGACUCUACUUUGAUAUUGUGAAGUGGUAUCGGCGGUGUAGAAUAGGUGGGAGAUGAAACGCAUAUUUGAAAUACCACUACGACGGUUGCGGCUUAACUUACAAAAUAAAAGAAAGAAUACUUAAUUGUACAUGUUUCUAAGUUAAACUUAUAUAGUAAAUUUGUUUUUAUAUAUUGUCAGAUAGGGAGUUUAGCUGGGGCGGCAUAUCUGUUAGAGAAUAACACAGAUGUCCUAAUAACAAUUCAAUGUGAACAGAAAUCGGAUGUAGAGUUUAAGUGCAAAAAUUGUUUUGACUUUGAUAUUCAGUUUGAAUCAGGGCACUGAAAGGUCUGGCUUAGUGAUCCUUUAGGUGUUUAAAGUUCAAAUUUAGAGGUGACAGAAAAGUUACCACAGGGAUAACUGGCUUGUGGCG
RNAcentral lists this ribosomal RNA (3119 nucleotides) under marine metagenome. RNAcentral's name for it is "eukaryotic LSU rRNA". The stretch from base 381 to 3119 matches the Rfam family "Eukaryotic large subunit ribosomal RNA", at positions 1 to 2842 of the family's 3401-position model. The record is from RNAcentral.